UAGGGAAUAUUGGUAAUCUGGGAAACCGGGAACCAGCAACGCCGCGUGCGCGAUGAAGGCCUUCGGGUUGUAAAGCGCUUUUUGAGAGGAUGAGGAAUGACAGUACUCUUAGAAUAAGCCUCGGCUAACUACGUGCCAGCAGCCGCGGUAAAACGUAGGAGGCGAGCGUUAUCCGGAUUUACUGGGCGUAAAGCGUGUGUAGGCGGUUUGAUAAGUUGGAUGUGAAAGCUCCUGGCUUAACUGGGAGAGGUCGUUCAAAACUAUCAGACUUGAGAGUGGUAGAGGGAGGUGGAAUUCCGCACGUAGUGGUGAAAUGCGUAGAUAUCGGGAGGAACACCAGUGGCGAAGGCGACUUCCUGGCACAAUACUGACGCUCAUGUGCGAAAGCUAGGGUAGCGAACG
This 402-nucleotide ribosomal RNA is filed under the name uncultured prokaryote. RNAcentral's name for it is "bacterial SSU rRNA". It matches the Rfam family "Bacterial small subunit ribosomal RNA", at positions 355 to 774 of the family's 1533-position model. The record is from RNAcentral.